Molecule: long non-coding RNA, 304 nt
Organism: Amphimedon queenslandica
Lineage: Eukaryota; Metazoa; Porifera; Demospongiae; Haplosclerida; Niphatidae
Exons: 4
Source: RefSeq, a predicted model, not a curated record
UCAGGAACCCGAUGCUGUACUAAUUAUUGAGUCAAAUAGUUCUUCACCUCUUCCUGAUCAUAACACUGUACUAUAUGUCACUGAUAGAGACCCAUUUAAGGAGAAGUGGGAGGGGCCUGUUCUAGGGCCUGAUGAUGCCGUUGAUUAUCUUGGCGUUGAUGAAGCAUACUCAAUAACAUUACUAUCGGAUCACUUGGAAAGAAAGUACUCAAAAGGUGGUUACUCUGUUUGGUAUUACGGUGAAAGAGAGACCCCAGCAACAAUCAGUGACUCCAUUGAUGUCACCAUACAUCAACACUUGUUA